CAUGGAUUGCCUGCCCCUUACCAAAAUAGGGUUUUGGAUAUACUUUACAUGAGCAUCUACCACUCUAAAUGUGUAUUUUUACUGAAAAUAUUAGAUAAUGGUACAACAAACCAGGUAUCUGGGUAUAUUUUACUCAUCUACAGUCAAAAUAUCUACAAAAAAUGUCAGUAAAUUUAAAAUUUUCCUGAAUUCUAACUCCAGCUAACAUCAAAGUCCGUAAACAAACUCCCCAUUGUGUUUUCAAGUGGCAGAAACAUGAAAUAAAGACAGAAACUGACCUUUUUUUAAUGAACCCUGAUUAUUAUUUAAUUACAAAUGAAGAUGAACAGAUAGCAGUGAAACAGAAGUACAUGUGGAUCCUCCAUGACAUAAAAAAAAAAAAAACAAGUCUCCGUCUGUCCUCUGGAGUGAGCGCUCACCGCUGAGGUGGACAUGAGAGGAGAGACAGAGACCCGAGUGAAAACACAGGGGGAAACGUUGCAAAUAAUAAAAUGGUUAAACAGUACAAUGCUCUUUUUCUUACAGAGUCCUCCAAAAAAAAAAAAAGGGAAAAUAUAUAUACAUAUCAUCAUAAAAUGAAAAUGACUGUGUCUGACCCCCUCGCUGUAGAGCACGUGGGGGGUUAAUGUGACCCCGCUCCUGUCCACGGUAACACGGUUAUAAAAUCAGCGUAAUUAAAAGAAAAAUAAUAAAAAAUAAAGACUGCACUGAAGCCGACUAGUUACGGAAAGAGCGCAAACUCACAGAAAACCAGGAAUUAAUGGAGAAGAGGCUGGGUCGUGGCGAGAGGAUACAAUGCAAUUUAAAAAAAAUUAUUAAUGUUAAUAAGAUAAUAAUUACAAGAGUAACAGUAAUACGUCUGAAAUAAUACAGAAGAAAAAUGGUAAGAACAGCACUGAUGAGGCUGAGGAGUGAAAAUGUGAAGCUGGUGGGAAACUGUUAUUCUGUUGUCAGGUAAGGCAGCACAGGUGUAACAGUUCGGGUGUUUUUAUUUUCCUCUACCAGACUCGUGUUAACUGCUACAUCUGUCCUUGAAGUUCCCUCAGAGUUUACGGUGUAGGUUUUUCCCCAUCACUGUGACCUCUCUCUCUGACCAAUCAAAUUUAAGGAGGAGUGGGAUUUAAGAGAGCAACACUGCUCGAGAGAAGAGCCCUGAAAAUGAGGCCACAGGUGUUUCUGGUGCCAAAGGUGGUGCUGCUUUAAACAAAUCAGGGGUGUCCUGGUGCACUGUGACACCUGUGAGAGCAAAUCAAGCUCCAGGCAAUCCCGCUAGGCUGUACGCAAUGAAUGGAGAAAGCCGGAGGUGCUCUGUCUUUAGGUAAAUGUAUGCAUGUGAGCAGAUAUGCAGACUCUACACUGUCAGGGUCCUUCAUCAGAGCUGGUGGGAUUUUUGCUCAUCAACUUCAAAAGUGUGUCCAAAACACCCCUGUGGACACGUACCACGUGCCUGAUGGAGACAGCUGAUGAUUGGUUUAGGACAUGGAUUUGAGACUGGAGCUGGUUGGACAAACAGGACUAAAACCUGCACCAAGACUCUCUGCAGACUGGGCUAAAAAGCUGUGUGUGUGUGUGUGUGUGUGUGUGUGUGUGUGUGUGUGUAAACGGCUUAACCAUAGAAACCACACACACACAGACAAGAAUGAGCGAGUCAGAUUAUGGGAAGUCCCUCUCUCUCUCUCCACUCUGCCCUGAGGUUUACUGAUGCAGUUUCCUCGCUGCGUGUGAUUGGCUGCAGUUUCUAUGGCAGUGCCAAAAGACUGCGGAGGCGUCUGAUGUCAGGUGUGAUGUCAUGUUUCCCUUUAUUGUAGCCACAGUAAAGCCUCGCUAACCAUCGUACUGUGUGUGUGUGUAGGCUUCAGAUCAGCACAGACACACAAAGCUUCGAAUCCUCAGUCAAAGUCCAGUCCUAUCACAGCUGUGGCCCUGCUGACCUCAUGUGGCGACAUGAAGCUGAAUACCUGUGCCGUCCAAUCAGAAAGCGCCCUGAACACACGAGUCCAUUCCCCGCUCCCUGUUUUGCGACCUUCACCUCUUUUAAGCUGAUUUUUAAGUUUGAGGCGGGUGGAGAGCGAGCAAACGGGAGGACAACCCCUCCUAAAUUUGCCUUUCUUGCGACAGACUCCGUGUUGUGGUGGUUAAACUCCACCCAGCUGCCACUCCACGGGCAUUAAAACAAACACACCAGAUAACAGAGUCAUAAUGAGUUAACCCGGGUCAGGUUAAAUCAGCAGGUCUCAAACUGUGGAACAUGAAGUGGAACUAAAACGAACAAAUUUGAUGCCUGAAAGUUUGAUAAGGGAAAAAACAACAACAAAAAAACGUGUGAGGUGUGAACUUUUAAGUUCGAGAACCACCGGGUUAAAAGUUCACUCCUUUCUCCAAGUCACACCCUCCGUCCCCUGAAUACACAAUAACUGCUUCCCCCCCGUUUUUUUGAACAAUAUAAAUAUAAAACUCUGAUACCAGUGGCCUUUUGUCGCUGCAGCUCAACGGUCAAAGAGAAGGCAAGGGUGAGAAGGCAAAGGCUGAAUUAUACUGGUAAUAAUAUGCCCAUUAGAGUAUAUACACACACAUCUUUACCAUUAAAAAUAGUAGGAUUCUCCUGAUUUGUAUCAAAUGACCAUAUUGAAAUAUAAUAUUUGAAUUCAAUAUAUAUUUGAAUAAAAUAUAUAUGUGUAGAUUUACUUAUUCUGUAUCUUUUACAAAAGCAGAAGGCAUGGUGGUACUCUGUGUGUGAGAUAAAACAUUAAGCCGGGGGUAGGUCAAUAAAACUCGAGAAAAAAAAAAAAAGGCACAAUCUACCUGUUGUUCUUUAAAACGGGCACAUUUCUGUUUAAAACUCUGAAUAAAACGACAUAAAAAUGAGCUGUUAUAGCAACAUCUCAGUGAAGGUUUGCCUGAGUUAACCUUGAUGCUCGACAUUCAUUUCAUGGUUCCCGUUCUUGUUCGCCCACCCACCCCGCCGUUAGACGAAUCGCUGCUUCUCAAAUACAAAAACAAAACAUCACGUGAACAGAUUAUAUCCAAAACACAGAAAGCCCUCAGAUCACUGCAAAAAUGCCCUAAAAUACUGUCCACGUCCUCAAGAGGCACAAACGUCCUUUGACAGAAGUCCUAAAAACAAAUCAGGGGAAUGCAGACGAGAGUUUUUAAAUCAGACGCCAUCAAACCUCCAAAAACCCCUCGGUGAUUGUGCGAAGUCACGCAGGGACAUAAAAAGCAGAGAAACCCUCUGUAUCCUCGAGGUUAGUGCACCAGCUUUGGGUCCACAAACACACACAC
Molecule: long non-coding RNA, 3282 nt
Organism: Astatotilapia calliptera (eastern happy)
Lineage: Eukaryota; Metazoa; Chordata; Actinopteri; Cichliformes; Cichlidae
Source: Ensembl